RNAcentral lists this ribosomal RNA (253 nucleotides) under uncultured bacterium. RNAcentral describes it as "partial 16S ribosomal RNA". It matches the Rfam family "Bacterial small subunit ribosomal RNA", at positions 524 to 776 of the family's 1533-position model. The record is from RNAcentral.
UACGGAGGGUGCAAACGUUGCUCGGAAUCAUUGGGCGUAAAGCGCACGUAGGCGGUCCGUUAUGUCGGGUGUGAAAGCCCUCGGCUUAACCGAGGAAGUGCAUUCGAAACUGGCGGACUUGAGUACCGGAGAGGGUCGCGGAAUUCCCGGUGUAGAGGUGAAAUUCGUAGAUAUCGGGAGGAACACCAGUGGCGAAGGCGGCGACCUGGACGGAUACUGACGUUGAGGCACGAAAGCGUGGGGAGCAAACAGG